Long non-coding RNA from Mangifera indica (mango), 4507 nucleotides. RefSeq lists it as uncharacterized. The record is from RefSeq and is a predicted model, not a curated record. The transcript has 2 exons. NCBI's taxonomy places the organism in Eukaryota, Viridiplantae, Streptophyta, Magnoliopsida, Sapindales, Anacardiaceae.
UUCACACCAGUUAGUGUAAUAUAUGUCUCAGGUAAUAGAUUUGUGUAUAAUCAAAAGUACAUUUUCUUCUCAUAACAUACAACCUAUGUGUUCUCAAUGUUUUAAAAGCCUUUUUAAGGUGUUGCAAAAGAUCCUUAUUUUUACCGUAUAUUAGAAUUUUACUGAAAAACAUUAACACACGCAUCCUUAGAUAGGUUUUAAAGAUAAAAUUCAUGAGAUUUCGAAAAGUUGAAGGUGCAUGGGUGAGUUCAAAAGGCAUUAAUAAGAAUUUAUAAUGACAUUCAUGUGUUUUGAAGGUUGUCUUAUCGACUGAGGAAUGGAGGCAGGAUGUGUCAUUUUCUUCAAUUACUUGAUUUCAGAUUGAUUUUAGAAAAUAUUUCGGCUUUCCCAAUCUCAUUCAAUAGCUCCUCAAAAUUGAAAUGAGGUAUUUGUUUUUUUAUUUUGACAUCAUUAAAACCCUAUAAUCCAUACAUAGCCUCCAAGAACCAUCCCUCUUCUUGACUAGGACAAUUAGGCUAGCAUAAAAACUAUUGUUGUUAUGAUGACACCAACCUCCAACAUAAGAACUUUUAUUUGUUUCAAUGACACCGACUUUCAACAUCUCUUGUACCUUCUCAAUCACUUUUUUUUUUUUUUUUUUUACAAAUUACUAUAUCUAUAUGGUUUAUGGUUGCCAACUAGUGCAUUCUCCUUGUGGACGGUUUGGUGUUCAUGCUCUCUUUGAGAUUGUAAGCCUUCAUAUUGUCUAAAGAAAUCAUUGAACUGACUCAAUAACAAUUAUAACCCCUUUCAACUAUUGUCAGCAAGUUCUCAUGUGACUUCAACAUGCUAGCUCAAUUUCCUCAUACUCCAUUACCAAUUGUGUGGAAGCUACAUGUUGAUUUUUGCAUAAUAAAGGCUGUAGUUUAGAGUGAUUGAUUGAUGUCAUUUCUUUCCCUUUGUUAUCCUAUAACAUACAUUGAUUCCCCUUAUGUUUAAAAGAUAUUUGAAGGUCCUUAAAAUUCCAUAAAAUGUCCCCAAAGGUUGCCAACCAUUGAGCCCUUACAAUUAAGUUAUAAUUAUCGAAGAGAAGAGUAUAUACAUCAGUCGUAAAUUGUUUUCUUUGAGCCCUCUAUUCAAAUUGUUUGUACAUGAAGUGGCAGUGCCUUAACUUUAAUGAAAUAUUAGUAUGAUGAAAAAAUUGAAUUGCACAGUUGUGCCAUUAAAAGGUUUAUCAGUUAACAUUGAUUUUCAAUAUAUUGGGUGAUUAUAAUGUCUUACUAGAGACCGUUCAUGGUUUGUAAAUAAAAUAGUUGAUUAAUUUUAGAUUAAUUAUAAAUUUUAUUCAUUGCUAGUAUAUUAGGGAACCUAUAGGGUACAUGCAUAAGGAGUCAGUUUUUCUAACUUGAAAUAUUGGGGUGUAAAGCAUAAAGGGUGAAUCACAUUCGUUUGGUGAAGUUAUAUAUCUAAAAUUAUGUUUGAAAAAUAUUUAUAAAUAAAUACUUAAAACAUAAUUAUGACUAAUUAAUAUCAAUUAUGGAUUGGGCAAAUCAUGCAAUUAGCUACUGACUUUGGAUGGAAUAUAUAAAUGAGCUACUAGAGUUUUGAUAUAAAUUCAUAGCAUAACCUUAGCCAUUUUUUCAUUUAAGCUUUUGAGAAACUCUCACUCUAGUCAUUUCUUUCUCUUUGGGGAAGAAGAGAUUUUCUUUUCAAUUUCUUCUCCUAAUCUUAGUAUACUUAAUUUCAUACAUCAUAAGCUAGCACCUAUGUGUCUCUUGAUCGUCAUAGAGCCCUUACGUGGAUGAGUAGGGUCUCGUUGGUAUAACAACGAAAGUGUUUUAAUUCUAGAUGGAUUUGAGGUGAAGUUGAAGAGGAGUCACCAAAUGUAGGUAUGAAAGUUUCAAUAUAUUACUAUCUAUUGUCGCGUAUGGUAGAAUGACAUUUUGUUUGAAUUUGUCUUGUUGCAUGAUUAGAUUCAAAAAUUUUGUUUUGGAUUUAUUUGGGUUGAAAAUUAAAUUACGUAAGUUUUUAGAAUCAAAUUGAAAUAAUAAUAAUUUAACCAAAAUUGGUUUUUGCGUGUGUUGAUAGCAUGAUAUGUUUGCUUGGUGAGGUGUUUCGUAUAUGGGCCUAUAAUUAAUGGGUUAAUUUACUUUUCAUUUAUUUUGUUAGGUUUUUAAAUGAAAUAUUAAAAUAGGGUUUGUGAAUCUUGCCUCUCUUGAAUUCUUUUGUAAUUCACUUUUCAUCUCAACUCCUUUCGAGUGUCGAGGUUUUCCAUUUAUUAAUGUAAUUUAUAUUGAAUUAAAUCAAUGUAUUUAGGGUGUGAAAAGUUGUCAUGUAAUUGAAGAGACGAAUUAAGGCAAUGAAAAGUUGUUAUGUAAUUGAAGAAACAAAUAAAGACAAUGUUGCAUUUUCAAGACUCGAGAAGAGAAAGAAUGAAGAGCAAAACCUUAUAUUAAUCGAGCUAUCCCCUUAGGGCUUGAAGGAGCCAAUAUUUGAUAAAAGCAUGUGUCAACACAAAUUAUGUUUUAGAUUACCUUCAUAAGGGUGUAUGCAUAUAUAGACUUAAGUUAUGCAUAAACAUGACUAAUAAAAGUAAGACUAAAAUAGAUAAUUAAAAUAAAACCCUUUAGUAAAUUUUAAGUUGUAUAAAAGCCUUCCACCACUAUGAACUUAGUUAAGCUCUAAGUUUAUCUAUGUCUUAUUCACCAUAGCAAAUGGUACAAUUCAACCCUAUAAAACCUAGUGACUAACAGUAAUGGGUGUCAUUUAACCAUGAUAAUUGUUCGUAACAAUGAAUGUGGAAAAGCAUGUGUCAACACAAAUUAUGUUUUAGAUUACCUUCGUAAGGGUGUAUGCAUAUAUAGACUUAAGUUAUGCAUAAACAUGACUAAUAAAAGUAAGACUAAAAUAGAUAAUUAAAAUAAAACCCUUUAGUAAAUUUUAAGUUGUAUAAAAGCCUUCCACCACUAUGAACUUAGUUAAGCUCUAAGUUUAUCUAUGUCUUAUUCACCAUAGCAAAUGGUACAAUUCAACCUUAUAAAACCUAGUGACUAACAGUAAUGGGUGUCAUUUAACCAUGAUAAUUGUUCCUAACAAUAAAUGUGGUUUGAGUUUGGAGGCACGAACUAUAUGCAGUUAUCAAUGUAUUAGUGAUAUAGUAUUCAUUCUAUUGAUAUCAAAAGUUGUACUCAAGGUUGUUUGAAUUGUCAAGAAUAAUGCCCUUAACUUGAGUUCUUUCACUUGUACAAUUGGCUUGUAGGCCUACCUAAUCUACCCACAUAGCUUGUUCAACAUGGUUAAGUUAAAAAUGGAUUAGAUAAGAUUUUGGUCUACUAAGAGAUCCACUGAGAUUUUCCAAGACCAAUAGUGAGAGUUAUUAGCUCAAAAAAAAAAAAGUGAGUAUUUAUUUAAUAAAACAUAAAAUAAAACAUAAAAUAAGUACUGAUUAGUCUUAUUUGCAUAUGUAGUUUCACAAUGACAACUAAUAAUAUAAGAUUGCAUUUUAUACUUGAAAUGGACAACAAUUUAGAUGACAAAAACUUGAUUGACUAGUAUCAAAAUCUUCAUAUUGUGCUACACUAAAAAAAAAAAAAAGAAGUAUGUCAUAGAAAGCACCCAACGCAUAUAACUUGAUCCUAAUACCACCCAAGAGGAAUGAUAUAUUUAUCAAAAAUACCUUGAUAAUGCUAAUGACGUUGCAUAUUUGAUGUUAGCAUUAACGUGAGGAAAUAAAUGGAUGCUAGAUCCGUUCUCCUACGUCUCAAAAGAGUUAUUCUUUAUGCAUGCACGUUGUGAGAGGUACAAGUUGUCAAAUUACAAGUAUAGAUACAAAAUGUUAGAGGGAGCUCAUAUGGCUCUCAUGUAUUCAAGAUGAUUAGGUACAUUGAUAGGUUUGUGGCUUUGGGCUUUUGUAUCGACCAUGACCUUGCCAUUGACUUGGUUUUGUAGUUCUAGCCUGAUUUUUAUUCUUAAUUCAACAUGAAUGGGAUUGAGAAAUCUCUGGCUGAGAUUUUGAACAUGUUAAGGACUAUGGAGCAAGGUAUUAAUAAGUCUUCGCCUGUAUUCUUAGUUGAUGCUAGAAUGGGUAAGGGUAAGGGCAAAAGGAAAUGCCAAGGCCAAGUCCAAACCCAAACCUUAGGCAUAAGCUCAACUUGGUUUACCCCACUGGUGACAUUGGGAAAAAGAUGGUAUGGUAGUAUGUUUCUAUUAUGGCAAGUUUGAUCAUUGGAGGAGAAAUUACAAGGUCUUUUAAGAAAUAAGAAGUCAAAUGCUUUUACUUCAGGAUCUAAUGCAGAGUAGAUCGCUUGCCCAUGGAGAGGUGAGCUUACAUGUUGGAAUUGAAGCAAGACUAGCUGCAUUAGUUGUAGGUCUUGGUUAUUUAAGUUUGCCUAUUGGCCUUAUUUUAGAACUCAAAAAUUAUAAUUAUGUUAUGGUAAUUUCUAAGAAUUUUAUUUUUGUGUCUACUGUAGAUGGACUAAGAUUUUAUUUAUAAUAAACAAAGGUUCUUUAUCCUUUGGUUUGAAUGAUA